UAAUUCGACUUGCUCUGGGUCUCAAAGCC
RNAcentral lists this non-coding RNA (29 nucleotides) under Mus musculus (house mouse). Lineage: Eukaryota; Metazoa; Chordata; Mammalia; Rodentia; Muridae. The record is from RNAcentral.